Oryctolagus cuniculus (rabbit) is the source of this 2636-nucleotide non-coding RNA. NCBI's taxonomy places the organism in Eukaryota, Metazoa, Chordata, Mammalia, Lagomorpha, Leporidae. The record is from RefSeq and is a predicted model, not a curated record.
CGAGUGGAGGAGGCGGGGCCGGAACGCGAUUCGGGGACCGGGGGCGGGGCCAGGCUUCGCGGGUGUGGCUGGGAGGGAAGGCGGGGCCAGGCCUUUGCGGGUGUGGCUGGGAGGGGUAGGCGGAGCCAGGCCUCCCGGGUUGGCUGGGAGAGGAGGCGGGGCCAGGCUGCGGGGUGGAGCCGGCGGAGGCGGGGCCAGGCUGCGGGGUGGAGCCGGGCGGAGGCGGGGCCAGGCUGCGGGGUGGAGCCGGGCGGAGGCGGCGGGGUCCGAGCGGGAGGCUGAGGGAGGGGUGGUCCCAGCCGCGGGGAGGCCAGGGCUGGGUACCGGCCUCGUCGGGACAGAAGCCCAGAGCGCCCCGAGCGGGCUCAGGUCUGCCCGGAGCCUCCUUCCUAACACCCGGAAGUGCUCUCGGGGCCGGGGCUGUCGCGCCGCUGUCCCCCCACAGAGUUGCGCGUGUGGGGAGGGGCUCAGCGAGGUCAGCCGCACCCCGUCUCCGGGCUGCCCUCCGCGUUCUACGUUGCUUUAAAGUUUAUUUGAGAGGCAGAGAGGGAGAGACAGAGAGAGAGAGAGAGAGAGAGAGGUCUUCUAUCCCUGGUUCACUCCUCAAUUGGCCACAACAGCCGGAGCUGCGCCCAUCCGGGCCGGGAGCCAGGAGCUUCCUCUGGGUCUCCCACACAGGGGUCGGGGGCCAAGGCCUUGGGCCAUCUUCUACUGCCUUCCCAGGCCACAGCAGAGAGCUGGAUCGGAAGUGGAGCAGCCGGGACUCGAACCGGCUCCUAUAAGGCACGGCUCCACAAUGCCAGCCACUUUCUGUUAAGCCCCGACUUGGAGUGGCCGUGGGGGCUCGGUGGGUUAGGCUGCUGCGUGGGCGUCCAGCAUCCCUUACGGGAACGUGGGUUUGAGUCCCAGCUGCUCCGCCUCCCACCCAGCUCCCUGCUAGUGGGCCUGGGAGAAAGGCAGAUGAUGGCCAAGUCCUUGGGCCCCUGACCCCCGUGUGGGAGACCUGGAUGGUGUUCCCGGCCUUGGCCCAGCCCUUUGUGGCCAUUUGGGGAGCCAGCAGAUGCAAGAUCUCCCUCUCUCGUCUCCGUCUCUGUCACUCUGCCUUUCAGAGAAAGAAAGACAUGUUGAAAGCCCUGCGUCGUGGAGGUGGAAGCGUGCAGUCUGUCUGCUGACGUCACUGGGCAGGUGCCCCAGGCCCGUCCAUAGGGGGGCCGGUGUCUGCGUCUCCCUCCUUUCAUAGCGGAAUAGGGCUAUGUCGCACUGGACGGCUCCGUGACCUCUCCAUUGGCAGAAGGAGGCCCUCGGCUUUCUCCUUACCUCACGGCUGCAGCAGCACCCUUAGGGAAUCUUGGCAAGUGCUCUCGAUCUGCUGGGGGAAAUCUGCCUUCUGAAACCGGUAAAAGAGGAACCCUCACUCGGCUACUCGCCGUCUCUGCCCCAAGUCUGCCGCCGGCCGACAGGUGCACCGGCCCCUGCAACACUGACAGGUGCGUGUUCUCGGAGCAGCUGCCACUGCCGUCUGCACAGGCACAGAGACACCAGCGUCCUGGCUCCUGGCUGUGCCUGGCCCACGCCCGGAUGUUGUCGGUGUUUGGGGAAGGAACCAGUGACUGGAAGAUCUCUCCAUCACUCUGCCUUUCAGAUAGGGGCGGAGUUUCCGGAAGAGCCGGGGUCCUGGUGUCUGACCCCACUGGGUCACUGGAGCUCCUCUCAGCGGCCACCGCACAGCCUGGCAGAGGACGCACUUCCCACAGAAGCCUGGAGGGAGUCUCCCUCGCACUGUCCUGGCUGUUGACAGUCCUCCGGAAGCUGCUAAUCUGGGGGCGGCCCCGGGUCAUUCUAGGAGGGCAAUGAUGAUAACAGGUCUCCUACAGCACCAGGGACACAGUAACACAGAAAGCAAAACGUGCAGCUAAAUGCAACAGCCCUCUCUCUCCCUCCAGUCCUUCACAGGAUGUUUGGUGGCUGAAGAAAAGUUACACCACAUCUGACCUGGCUCUAAAUGUAUCUAGAAAAAUUUAUGGAAACUGUCCAGUAAGUGUGUUGCAGAAAGCAAUGGAGACUGCCGUAGCUUGGCAGUUAGGGUGCUCUUCUCCCAUGAUCGAACAGGGAUGCAGGCACUGCAGGCGGCGGCUUUAACCACUACGCCACAGCGCCGGCCCCUGGGCAGUUGAUUUGUAUAUUUGGGCGGAGCUGGGGAGCCCACAUCUGCUUUGGGACUUUCCCACGCUCUGGGACGACCCCCACAAAAUGGAGCAGGGUAACAGGAUGCAAAGGGAGCCAAGGUUCCUACACAUCACUUGGUAAAAUGAAGUAUCAGCAGACUGUGGUAAGCUCUGCAUGUGUAGUACCUGGAGCACCACCAGAUCCAGUAUUAAGCUCUUCCAAGCUGUUUGGUGCAGGGCCGCCGACGCCCACAUCCCUGUCAGACUGCCUGGAUUUGAGUCCCGGAUUUCUGGGAGGCAGCAGGUGGUGGCUCAAGUACUUGGGUCCCUGCCACCCACCUCGGAGACCUGGACGGAGCUCCUGGCUCCUGGUUCAGCCUGGCCAGUCUUGGCGGUUGCAGCCAUCUGGGGAGUGAGCUAGCUAGUGGAAGCUUGUCCUGUCACUCUGCCUUUCAAAUAAAUAAAUAAAUA